UCCCGGGUGGCUCAGACGGUAAAGCGUCUGCCUGUCAUGCGGGAGACCCAGGUUUGAUCCCUGGGUCAGGAG
Molecule: transfer RNA, 72 nt
Filed under: Ovis aries (sheep)
Lineage: Eukaryota; Metazoa; Chordata; Mammalia; Artiodactyla; Bovidae
Rfam family: tRNA
About the family: Transfer RNA (tRNA) molecules are approximately 80 nucleotides in length.
Source: Rfam by way of RNAcentral